AAGUCGUAACAAGGUUUCCGUAGGUGAACCUGCGGAAGGAUCAUUAACACGUAUCCAACGUUAAACAACCCUGUGAACUUUCAACGCUCUUGUAGCCCCAGAGGAACAGCAAUCCCGGUAAAUCAAUGGCGGAAAAGUUUUGAUUCGGGACCUCUGUCCAAAAGGUAUCAAGUUACAAUCGAGCAGAGCAGUGGCAUGGUUUCCCUAAGCAGUGCAGAAGGAUCCACUGAGUAAGGAUAACGCAUCACGGUUGCCAGAGGUCGAUCACCGGCGCGCGCCCCCUCAUUCACCCCUUGCCCUCUCAAGCCUCGCGGAAACGCCGGGCAUAAAAACCGAACAACUGUUAACAAUGGAUAUCUUGGUUCUC
Molecule: unclassified non-coding RNA, 367 nt
Filed under: fungal sp.
Lineage: Eukaryota; Fungi
Description: partial internal transcribed spacer region
Rfam family: Eukaryotic small subunit ribosomal RNA (bases 1-46)
Source: RNAcentral